UCAACCCCUUUCUCUGAAGCUCACAUGAACGCACCGAGAGUCCCCAUUGUUCCACGCUCGCCCGGCCACCAUCAACAGUGGGUUUGACUCCGAUCGCCCUAAAAUCUCGCGUAUUUCUUCUUCUAAUCUAGAUAUGGUCCCUAAAAGCUUAGAAGCAAACCUUAAUUCCCUUUUUUCUCUUUCAAUGGACACUCUUAAAAUCCUAUCAAUGCCGAAAAUUAACCCUUCAACCCCAACUUCGACCACCACAACAACCUCCUCUGUCCAUCGUCCACCGUAACCUAACCGCGAAACUCAUUCCUCAACCACUUCAAAACCUAUCGAUCGAACCCAAAACCGAGCCUACAUGCAAAACAUAAUAUGGUUCGAAGGGACCUCGACUCUACUCUUUCCGAUGACCUCAAGAGACCUCGACUCCGACAAUGGACAUCCACAUUUAAGGUCACAUGGGUUCUGUUUGUAAAUUCUCUCUCGAUUUCCUCUACCUCAGAUGACCCCGGACGAACAAUCUUUAUUCCAGACGACAAGACUCGACUCCCCUACCCCAAUGGAGACCCGAUGCAGAACUAGAACCCGACGGUGAUGAAACAAAGUCAACGAGACUCCCUACUUUCGCAUAAUCCAAGUGAAUUCCUAAUCCCUCUCUAUUUUCAGUUGAAUAAUAAUAGCAUAAAAAAACAGAUUG
Molecule: long non-coding RNA, 685 nt
Organism: Hibiscus syriacus
Lineage: Eukaryota; Viridiplantae; Streptophyta; Magnoliopsida; Malvales; Malvaceae
Exons: 3
Source: RefSeq, a predicted model, not a curated record